This 157-nucleotide ribosomal RNA is filed under the name Escherichia coli. Its description in RNAcentral is "partial 16S ribosomal RNA". It matches the Rfam family "Bacterial small subunit ribosomal RNA", at positions 1 to 151 of the family's 1533-position model. Lineage: Bacteria; Pseudomonadati; Pseudomonadota; Gammaproteobacteria; Enterobacterales; Enterobacteriaceae. The record is from RNAcentral.
AAAUUGAAGAGUUUGAUCAUGGCUCAGAUUGAACGCUGGCGGCAGGCCUAACACAUGCAAGUCGAACGGUAACAGGAAGAAGCUUGCUUCUUUGCUGACGAGUGGCGGACGGGUGAGUAAUGUCUGGGAAACUGCCCGAUGGAGGGGGAUAACUACU